This 83-nucleotide transfer RNA is filed under the name Sphaerotilus natans. RNAcentral's name for it is "tRNA-Ser". RNAcentral also lists the same sequence under 1 other name. Lineage: Bacteria; Pseudomonadati; Pseudomonadota; Betaproteobacteria; Burkholderiales; Sphaerotilaceae. The record is from RNAcentral.
GCCUGGCUCCAGGCCGGGCUGGCGGGUCUGCCGGUGCUGGCGGCGGUGCUGAUGCCGCCGUUCGAUGCGCGGCGGGCCUGGCU